This 726-nucleotide ribosomal RNA is filed under the name Triticum aestivum (bread wheat). Its description in RNAcentral is "partial small subunit ribosomal RNA". Lineage: Eukaryota; Viridiplantae; Streptophyta; Magnoliopsida; Poales; Poaceae. The record is from RNAcentral.
AUGUUCAGAUCGAAGGUCCAGGAGAUGAUCCUUAGGAGGAGGUCCAGGUCCAUGAACGGCGCCGGCUGCGGGCAGCACGCCGGAGGCAACCUGUCCACGGCCCCCUGCGACGGUGGAGGCGGCAAGGGUGCUGCUGUUCGUGCGCCGUCGUUCGCGGCGCCGAGGCUGCUGCACUCGUCGUCGCUCCCGGCCGGCGGCCGCGCCGCGGUCGUCAUCGGGAGCCCCGCGCGGGAUCCGGAGACGAUGUCCGCCUACGCCAUGAGCCCGACCUCCGUGCUUGACGCGUCGGUGACCUUCGGUUCGCCCGGCCCGGCGGUGGACGCCGGGGGGAGCAAGCGCCGGCCGUGGUGCGACGGGUGCGCGGGGCCGCACGGGCUCGCCGACGUGCUGGACUGCGCCCACGAGGCGCAGCGGAGGAAGAACGUUCUCCGGGGCGCCGUGAGGGCGCAGGCGCCGGCCCUGGUGCGGUCGUCCUCCCUGGACCGGCGCGUGGAGUUCGGCGUCAAGAACAAGAGCUCGUGGCUGCCGCUGCGCUCCGCCCGCGCGGGGGCGGCUGAGGCCGAGGAGGACGGGCCGUCGUCCGAGGACUACACCUGCGUCAUCUCCCGCGGGCCCAACCCGAGGACCGUGCACAUCUUCGGCGACCGCGUCGUGGAGGGCGCCCGCGUGGCAGAGAGCCCGCCGCCGGCGCCGGCGCGCCAGGGCAGAGGCUUCCUCAGCCUGUGA